UGUAAAGCACUUUCAUGGGGAAGAUUUAAGAUUGCUAAUAUCAAUUUUAAUUGACGUUACCCAUAUAAGAAGCACCGGCUAACUCCGUGCCAGCAGCCGCGGUAAUACGGAGGGUGCAAGCGUUAAUCGGAAUUACUGGGCGUAAAGAGUUCGUAGGCGGUUUAUUAAGUCAGAUGUGAAAUCCCUGAGCUUAACUUAGGAACUGCAUUUGAAACUGAUAAGCUAGAGUUUCGUAGAGGGAGGUAGAAUUCCAGGUGUAGCGGUGAAAUGCGUAGAGAUCUGGAGGAAUACCAGUGGCGAAGGCGGCCUCCUGGACGAAAACUGACGCUCAGGUACGAAAGCAUGGGGAGCAAACAGGAUUAGAUACCCUGGUAGUCCAUGCCGUAAACGAUGUCGAUUUGAAGGUUGUAACCAUUGAGUUGUGGCUUUCGGAGCUAACGCGUUAAAUCGACCGCCUGGGGAGUACGACCGCAAGGUUAAAACUCAAAUGAAUUGACGGGGGCCCGCACAAGCGGUGGAGCAUGUGGUUUAAUUCGAUGCAACACGAAGAACCUUACCUACUCUUGACAUCCAAAGAACUGUGUAGAGAUAUGCAGGUGCCUUCGGGAGCUUUGAGACAGGUGCUGCAUGGCUGUCGUCAGCUCGUGUUGUGAAAUGUUGGGUUAAGUCCCGCAACGAGCGCAACCCUUAUCCUUUGUUGCCAACGAGUUAAGUCGGGAACUCAAAGGAGACUGCCGGUGAUAAACCGGAGGAAGGUGAGGAUGACGUCAAGUCAU
Molecule: ribosomal RNA, 776 nt
Filed under: Blochmannia endosymbiont of Camponotus atriceps 219
Lineage: Bacteria; Pseudomonadati; Pseudomonadota; Gammaproteobacteria; Enterobacterales; Enterobacteriaceae
Description: bacterial SSU rRNA
Rfam family: Bacterial small subunit ribosomal RNA
Source: RNAcentral